This is a long non-coding RNA of Pipra filicauda (Wire-tailed manakin), 613 nucleotides long. RefSeq lists it as uncharacterized. NCBI's taxonomy places the organism in Eukaryota, Metazoa, Chordata, Aves, Passeriformes, Pipridae. The transcript is spliced from 2 exons. The record is from RefSeq and is a predicted model, not a curated record.
GACAGUGCUGGAGAAAGAAGAUCAUGAAAGCAGCUCCUUGUGAAGCUCCACUUAGGAUGUGCUUGUGCCGAGAAUGGAAUGACAAGCAGUGGCCAAAGAAUUUCAGAGGUGAACAGUGACUUCCCUCAAGAUGGUUCCAGACAUUGACACCUCCUUCAGGAAUCUAAUUAUGCUCAUUCCUUUCUGUGACUAAUCUAUUUGCUGCCAGUAGAUCAGCAGUCAGAGCUGCUGUCAUGAAGAUUAGUGCCUCCAUUAAGAGGAUGUUGUGUUCAUUUAGAGGGAAAUAAAUGGACCACGGGAAUGAAGAUAGUAAUGAGGCAGAAGCUGUUUAACUUCAUCCAGGGCAGGUGUGGAAUAGCAGGAGGGAGCAGAUGUGGAGGAAUGCAGACUAGCUGUACAUAGUGAUGUGCACAGUUUGCCUGCUGUGCCUACGUGCAAGAGCAACGGAAGAACCAGAUCAAAUGGUGGUAAACAGAUUUAGUGGUAAACUUUCUCACCAGUUGGAAGUGUUGCCUCUGCAGAAUACAAAUAUUUCAAAUUAGUUAAAAGACUACGCACUGAUAAAUUACUACCUUUCCAAUAAAGCUGUUGUGCUGAAACAGCCCUUGAAGCA